UUUGAAUGUUCGUUUGAUUCCGUUAAGAUAAUAGCUGGUUCACUGUCAGAUGCAGACUGAUCAGUUAAAACCUUAAUCACUGCCUGUCUCCUCACACGGCACUUAUUUUUUAAGAGAUUAAUCCCCUCAGCCCUGCUCCAGCUCACAUUGGGCUAGAAAAAAAAGGCAAGGUUUGUGCUAUCCUUAUUAUUAUUAUUGUUGUUAUUGUCAACCUCGUUACUCCGCAUAUUAACUCCUUCCCUCUGUUCUUUCAACCGUUUCUUUUUUUUUUCCCCUCUGGGUUCCCAAUCCUCCCCUCAGCUCACGUGGAUUAUCUGUCUCUCAAUUUCUCUGUGUCUCUGUCUCUGUCUGUCUCUGUCUCUGUCUCUGUCUCUCUCUGUCUCUCUCUCUGUCUCUGUCUCUCUCUCUCUCUCUCUCUCUCUCUCUCUCUCUCUCUCUCUCUCUCGGAUGUGGCUCUCCAGAUAGAGUGUGAGCGCAACAGCCCCAUACACGCCCCGCUGCCUCCCCAUGCACACUGCAUGUUCCGGCACGCUUUUCCGGGUUAGGAGAGCGUCCAGGCACACAGACCAGGGCGGCUGGAGGAUGCAGCUCUGUGCCGUGGGCUGAGCCCGCACUUUGGAGUCAGACUUGCCCCAGUCCUCCCUCAGAUACUCACGUGCUGUGUAACCUUGGAGAGGAGCCUCAGUUCCUCAUCUGUAAAGUGGGGGUGAGGACGCUCACUUCUGGGAGGCCAUGAGCUCUGAGCACCUGAAAACAGAUUCCACGGAAAGAUCCUUUCCAGAGGUUGUCCAGUCUCUCCCUGAAGAUGUCACAUCCUCUCCAGGCCAUUUUGCAGAUGCUCCUCACUUGAUGACCUGUCUCAGCAGACCAGCCAUGCCCAGUGUCAGGAAGGAGAUCCUGCUUGACUGUAGGGGAAGAAACUAGAUGAAGAAAAGUUCCCCAAAGAGUGAACUCUGCAAGUUUCGGAGAAUGAUUUGCAUGGAGAAAGGCAGGAUUGAAGUGGCUGGAGCCUGUGACUUUGUCUUUGCCAUCUCUAUGCGUCAUUGUUUAUUUUUGAACCUACUGUUUAAACACCGGAAUGUUUAGAACUACAGGAGCUCAUGAGAACUGUGACCGAAAGCAGCUCUAAUGACUCUGAAUUGUUACAAACUUCCUCUCGAAAUGGAGUGUAGCCGGGUUCUGUGUGUUCCGGCCUGACUAUAUACGCGGGAGUUCUUCAAAUGAACUCCCGUGCCUCGGCCGAUCCUUAUGGAAGGAUAAGUAAUAGAGACGCGCUCACUGGAAGCUCACGUAGAUGGUACUGAAACUCAACAGUAACCACAGCAAUUACUUAGAACACAGCACAACAGAAGACUUUUUUCAGGGACAAGUAUUUUAUCACUGACACAGAAUUGCUGGCGCACGGUGAUAAGAAAAAGGCAGAUUGACUUGGAGGCAAUUUUAUUAUUGUUUUAAAGUUCUUUACAGACAAUGAACCCUUUCAUUGCCUGCAGCCAAGGUGGACGGCUCCCACUGUCCCCACCCCUGCUUCUCCAUUGGGGUUUGCACAUUCGCAGCCCCAAAUUCCAGAAACCUUUGAUCCAAACCCUUCCCAAUCCAGGCAAGUUAAGAAAACAAAGGCAAAUAGCAAUACAUUUAAAUCAUCA
RNAcentral lists this long non-coding RNA (1646 nucleotides) under Equus caballus (horse). RNAcentral's name for it is "lncRNA (ENSECAG00000048938.1)". Lineage: Eukaryota; Metazoa; Chordata; Mammalia; Perissodactyla; Equidae. The record is from RNAcentral.